Molecule: long non-coding RNA, 201 nt
Organism: Papilio machaon (common yellow swallowtail)
Lineage: Eukaryota; Metazoa; Arthropoda; Insecta; Lepidoptera; Papilionidae
Exons: 3
Source: RefSeq, a predicted model, not a curated record
AUACUUUUUAGCUUUAUUAUGUUAAAUCAACAAUGUAGAUAUGAUUUAGAAUCAUAUGUGUUUUUGCAUCUGUGUACCUCAGUUGUGCUGCUAUCCUUCUCUCUUCAGUCCGUGUCUUGCUUGUCUACCUUUCUGCAUAAAAGGUAUAAAAUGGUGCCAAUGCUUUAUCGUUAACUACGACAGUGAGGAAAACUUGCACCC